CCUACGGGGGGCAGCAGUGAGGAAUAUUGGUCAAUGGGCGCGAGCCUGAACCAGCCAAGUCGCGUGAGGGAGGACGGCCCUACGGGUUGUAAACCUCGUUUGCCGGGGAGCAACGGGCGUCACGUGUGGCGCCACAGAGAGCACCCGGAGAAAAAGCAGCGGCUCACUCCGUGCCAGCAGCCGCGGUAAUACGGAGGAUGCGAGCGUUAUCCGGAUUUAUUGGGUUGAAAGGGGGCGUAGGGGGAUCGUGAAGGCAGUGGUAAAAUUGAGGGGCUCAACCCCUUCCCGCCAUUGAAACUGGCGUUCUUGAGUGGAGGAGAGGUAUGCGGAAUGCGUGGUGUAGCGGUGAAAUGCAUAGAUAUCACGCAGAACCCCGAUUGCGAAGGCAGCAUGCCGGCUUCCGACUGACGCUGAAGCACGAAAGCGUGGGGAUCGAACAGGAUUAGAUACCCCAGUAGUC
RNAcentral lists this ribosomal RNA (460 nucleotides) under uncultured bacterium. RNAcentral describes it as "partial 16S ribosomal RNA". It matches the Rfam family "Bacterial small subunit ribosomal RNA", at positions 338 to 795 of the family's 1533-position model. The record is from RNAcentral.